Mus caroli (Ryukyu mouse) is the source of this 1195-nucleotide non-coding RNA. The record is from RefSeq and is a predicted model, not a curated record. Lineage: Eukaryota; Metazoa; Chordata; Mammalia; Rodentia; Muridae.
GGGCCAUUCUGCUUUGACAUGGGCAUGGCCCUCUGACAAGGUGACUCUAGAGAAUGAGCCUGUCUGCUCCUCCCCCACCCUCUAAUGGGCUCUCCUGGGACUGCAGUGCAGAGCCCCUCCCUCCAUGAGGAAGUCAGUGCUGUGAGGUGCAGCAGGACACCUGGGACCCAGUGACAGUGACUUGCCAUGCGCCCUCUGGGGACGAGGCCGAUCAAAGACGACCCCCAUCUCCAGUCUAAUUGGGCCAUAGGUAAUAAAGAAAGACACGGCGGAGUUUUCUGUGAGGGAUGGCUGCCGUACGCUCGCUCACCUCUGGACUCCUGGUUCCUCUCCUAUUCAGGUUCUUUGUGCUCUUGUGUCACCUAAGGGCCUUCAGGGAGCCACAGCAGAGCUCUACGCAUCUGGAAACCAAGGCUGUGAGGAUUGACGCGCCUGGUACCAGGAAAAGCUCCCAGGUGGGAGGUAGCUUAUCGUUUCUGUAUGACAGAGCACAACACAGGAUCCAUGCUGAUGAAGAGCUAGACCCAAACCAAAAGGAGUGUGAAUGGUCAUCUUUCUAAAUUGUACUUCAAACACACCAGGUGACCGUGGCUGAAAACUUUCACUGUGUCUGCAGUUUCCAGGAAAGCCCCCUUACUGCCCCCCCCCCGACCCCCUUACUUGAUCUUGCUCUAGGAUUCAUUCUUGACUGGAGAGAGUGCCAGUCACACUGUUGGUCUUUUAGCCUGUUGAGUGGUGAUUUCUAUUAUCUAUUUGCUUGUUUGGAGACAGGGUCUCACACUGUUAACUCUAGCUGGCCAGGAACUCAGAGCAAUCCUCCUGCAUCAGUUUCCCAGUGCUUGGAUUUCAUGCAUGAUUCAAAGCAUAGCUGUUUGUUUGUUUGUUUGUUUGUUUGUUUUCUCUAGUCAUCAGUGCCUCUUGCCAUGCAGAGGGGGCUAAGGAAGGCUCAGGAAGCUGACGGGGCCUGCCCCAGGCCUCAGUCCUACCUGAUGAAGGAGCUGAGCCUGGAGUGCAGCUCAAUUAGCCAUGGAGAUGAGGCUCUUUUCAUAGAGUCCAGCAUGACCUGGGACUGAAUUAGCCUCAAUAGGCAUGCCGCCAUGUCAGGAGAGGGAGGGAUUCCAGGGGGAAAGGUCCAAGAAGAGGCAGAUUCUUCCUUCCUCUCUCCAAAGACAGUAAAGGCAGUCUGCCUCUCUGU